Molecule: ribosomal RNA, 216 nt
Filed under: Triticum aestivum (bread wheat)
Lineage: Eukaryota; Viridiplantae; Streptophyta; Magnoliopsida; Poales; Poaceae
Description: partial small subunit ribosomal RNA
Source: RNAcentral
AUGAACCGCCCGCCUCCCCCAUUUCGUUUCCGUUUGAUGGUAGUGACGACGACGACCAAGAUAUACAAAAGGCACAAGAAGCAAAUAAACAACUGUCAAGGCAUGCUCGUGGAGGCCAUGUGGAGGGAUGGCUUGUGCAGCCAGGAGCGAAUUGAUGAGACAUGUAUCUAUACUUCUAAAGGUAUCUUCUACAGUAUGAUGUGUACACAACUGUGA